GUCUCUUGCCAUCCUUGGGUCUAAGCUGUCUGGCAUUUAGUUGUCGGGCAGUGGCUGCCCAUCGUUUACUGUGAAAAAAUUAGAGUGUUCAAAGCAGGCUUAUGCCGUUGAAUAUAUUAGCAUGGAAUAAUAAGAUAGGACCUUGGUACUAUUUUGUUGGUUUGCGCACCGAGGUAAUGAUUAAGAGGGACAGUUGGGGGUAUUCGUAUUCAAUUGUCAGAGGUGAAAUUCUUGGAUUUCUGGAAGACGAACUACUGCGAAAGCAUUUACCAAGGAUGUUUUCAUUAAUCAAGAACGAAAGUUAGGGGAUCGAAGAUGAUUAGAUACCAUCGUAGUCUUAACCAUAAACUAUGCCGACUAGGGAUUUGUGGGUGUUAUUUUUGACCCCAUGAGCACCUUAUGAGAAAUCAAAGUCUUUGGGUUCCGGGGGGAGUAUGGUCGCAAGUCUGAAACUUAAAGAAAUUGACGGAAGGGCACCACCAGGAGUGGAGCCUGCGGCUU
Molecule: ribosomal RNA, 501 nt
Filed under: Attheya sp. RCC5534
Lineage: Eukaryota; Bacillariophyta; Biddulphiophyceae; Attheyales; Attheyaceae
Description: SSU rRNA
Rfam family: Eukaryotic small subunit ribosomal RNA
Source: RNAcentral